UCGAAUGCAUUCUUAGGUACA
Molecule: non-coding RNA, 21 nt
Filed under: Caenorhabditis elegans
Lineage: Eukaryota; Metazoa; Nematoda; Chromadorea; Rhabditida; Rhabditidae
Source: RNAcentral